This 156-nucleotide ribosomal RNA is filed under the name Mucor racemosus. RNAcentral describes it as "5.8S ribosomal RNA". It matches the Rfam family "5.8S ribosomal RNA". From Rfam's summary of the family: 5.8S ribosomal RNA (5.8S rRNA) is a component of the large subunit of the eukaryotic ribosome. Lineage: Eukaryota; Fungi; Mucoromycota; Mucoromycetes; Mucorales; Mucoraceae. The record is from RNAcentral.
CAACUUUUAACAACGGAUCUCUUGGUUCUCGCAUCGAUGAAGAACGUAGCAAAGUGCGAUAACUAGUGUGAAUUGCAUAUUCAGUGGAUCAUCGAGUCUUUGAACGCAACUUGCGCUCAUUGGUAUUCCAAUGAGCACGCCUGUUUCAGUAUCAAA